UUGAUUCCUUGACUAGGGUUCUUGUUCCUUUGAGAGAAAAUAAAUUGGCUCUUGAGUUUGAAAAACUUGAAUAUCAUAUAUUCUUGAAGAAGGAUUUGAUUCUUGUUAUAGGUUAUGAUCUUGAGAGAAACCCUUCUUUUGAUGUUGAAGAUAAAUGAGGAGUUAUGUUCUUCAAUUGAUGGGAUUUGGGUCUUCAAAUUGAAACCCUAUCUUGAGUUCUUUAGAGGAUUUUGAGAAGAGG
RNAcentral lists this long non-coding RNA (241 nucleotides) under Capsicum annuum. RNAcentral's name for it is "long non-coding RNA (CANN_LNC000068)". The record is from RNAcentral. Lineage: Eukaryota; Viridiplantae; Streptophyta; Magnoliopsida; Solanales; Solanaceae.